CAGUGGGGAAUAUUGGACAAUGGGCGCAAGCCUGAUCCAGCCAUGCCGCGUGAGUGAUGAAGGCCCUAGGGUUGUAAAGCUCUUUCACCGGUGAAGAUAAUGACGGUAACCGGAGAAGAAGCCCCGGCUAACUUCGUGCCAGCAGCCGCGGUAAUACGAAGGGGGCUAGCGUUGUUCGGAUUUACUGGGCGUAAAGCGCACGUAGGCGGACUUUUAAGUCAGGGGUGAAAUCCCGGGGCUCAACCCCGGAACUGCCUUUGAUACUGGAAGUCUUGAGUAUGGUAGAGGUGAGUGGAAUUCCGAGUGUAGAGGUGAAAUUCGUAGAUAUUCGGAGGAACACCAGUGGCGAAGGCGG
This 355-nucleotide ribosomal RNA is filed under the name Ochrobactrum sp. Its description in RNAcentral is "bacterial SSU rRNA". It matches the Rfam family "Bacterial small subunit ribosomal RNA", at positions 352 to 724 of the family's 1533-position model. The record is from RNAcentral. Lineage: Bacteria; Pseudomonadati; Pseudomonadota; Alphaproteobacteria; Hyphomicrobiales; Brucellaceae.